Molecule: ribosomal RNA, 464 nt
Filed under: uncultured bacterium
Lineage: Bacteria
Description: partial 16S ribosomal RNA
Rfam family: Bacterial small subunit ribosomal RNA
Source: RNAcentral
GACGAACGCUGGCGGCGUGCUUAACACAUGCAAGUCGAACGGAAAGGCCCCUUUGGGGGUACUCGAGUGGCGAACGGGUGAGUAACACGUGAGUAACCUGCCCUUGACUUCGGGAUAACUUCAGGAAACUGGGGCUAAUACCGAAUAGGAAUCCUUGCUGCAUGGUGGGGGUUGGAAAGCUUCGGCGGUUUUGGAUGGACUCGCGGCUUAUCAGCUUGUUGGUGGGGUAGUGGCUUACCAAGGCUUUGACGGGUAGCCGGCCUGAGAGGGCGACCGGCCACAUUGGGACUGAGAUACGGCCCAGACUCCUACGGGAGGCAGCAGUGGGGAAUAUUGCACAAUGGGCGGAAGCCUGAUGCAGCAACGCCGCGUGCGGGAUGACGGCCUUCGGGUUGUAACCCGCUUUCAGCAGGGGCGAAGCUUUUGUGACGGUACCUGCAGAAGACGCACCGGCUAACUACGUG